UGGGGGAUAACGUCCGGAAACGGGCGCUAAUACCGCAACGUCCUGAGGGAGAAAGUGGGGGAUCUUCGGACCUCAGGCUAUCAGAUGAGCCUAGGUCGGAUUAGCUAGUUGGUGGGGUAAAGGCCUACCAAGGCGACGAUCCGUAACUGGUCUGAGAGGAUGAUCAGUCACACUGGAACUGAGACACGGUCCAGACUCCUACGGGAGGCAGCAGUGGGGAAUAUUGGACAAUGGGCGAAAGCCUGAUCCAGCCAUGCCGCGUGUGUGAAGAAGGUCUUCGGAUUGUAAAGCACUUUAAGUUGGGAGGAAGGGCAGUAAGUUAAUACCUUGCUGUUUUGACGUUACCAACACAAUAAGCACCGGCUAACUUCGUGCCAGCAGCCGCGGUAAUACGAAGGGUGCAAGCGUUAAUCGGAAUUACAGGGCGUAAAGCGCGCGUAGGUGGUUCAGCAAGUUGGAUGUGAAAUCCCCGGGCUCAACCUGGGAACUGCAUCCAAAACUACUGAGCUAGAGUACGGUAGAGGGUGGUGGAAUUUCCUGUGUAGCGGUGAAAUGCGUAGAUAUAGGAAGGAACACCAGUGGCGAAGGCGACCACCUGGACUGAUACUGACACUGAGGUGCGAAAGCGUGGGGAGCAGACAGGAUUAGAUACCCUGGUAGUCCACGCCAUACACGAUAUCGACUAGCCCUUGGGAUCCUUGAGAUCUUAGUGGCGCACCUAACGCGAUAAGUCGACCGCCGGGGGAGUACGGCCGCACGGUUAAGACUCAAAUGAAUUGACUGGGGCCCGCACAAGCGGUGGAGCAGGUGGUUUAAUUCGAAGCAACGCGAAGAACCUUACCUGGCCUUGACAUGCUGAGAACUUUCCAGAGAUGGAUUGGUGCCUUCGGGAACUCAAACACAGGUACUGCAGGGCUGUCGUCAGCUCGUGUCGUGAGAUGUUGGGUUAAGUCCCGUAACGAGCGCAACCCUUGUCCUUAGUUACCAGCACCUCGGGUGG
This 1000-nucleotide ribosomal RNA is filed under the name Pseudomonas aeruginosa. RNAcentral describes it as "bacterial SSU rRNA". It matches the Rfam family "Bacterial small subunit ribosomal RNA", at positions 137 to 1134 of the family's 1533-position model. The record is from RNAcentral. Lineage: Bacteria; Pseudomonadati; Pseudomonadota; Gammaproteobacteria; Pseudomonadales; Pseudomonadaceae.